RNAcentral lists this ribosomal RNA (606 nucleotides) under uncultured bacterium. RNAcentral's name for it is "bacterial SSU rRNA". It matches the Rfam family "Bacterial small subunit ribosomal RNA", at positions 61 to 685 of the family's 1533-position model. The record is from RNAcentral.
GUCGAUUCAAGUUACCUUCGGGUAAUGAGGAUGGCGGACGGGUGAGUAACGCGUAAGGAACUUGCCUCUUGGACUGGGACAACUGUUGGAAACGACAGCUAAUACCGGAUAUUAUGAGAUUCUCGCAUGAGAAACUUAUGAAAGCUAUAUGCGCCAAGAGAGAGCCUUGCGUUCCAUUAGCUAGUUGGUGGGGUAACGGCCCACCAAGGCGACGAUGGAUAGCCGGCCUGAGAGGGUGAACGGCCACAAGGGGACUGAGACACGGCCCUUACUCCUACGGGAGGCAGCAGUGGGGAAUAUUGGACAAUGGACCAAAAGUCUGAUCCAGCAAUUCUGUGUGCACGAUGAAGGUCUUCGGAUUGUAAAGUGCUUUCAGUUGGGAAGAAGCAAGUGACGGUACCAACAGAAGAAGCGACGGCUAAAUACGUGCCAGCAGCCGCGGUAAUACGUAUGUCGCAAGCGUUAUCCGGAUUUAUUGGGCGUAAAGCGCGUCUAGGCGGAAAAAUAAGUCUGAUGUUAAAAUGCGGGGCUCAACUCCGUAUUGCGUUGGAAACUGUUUUUCUAGAGUACUGGAGAGGUGGGCGGAACUACAAGUGUAGAGGUGAA